Molecule: long non-coding RNA, 369 nt
Organism: Eriocheir sinensis (Chinese mitten crab)
Lineage: Eukaryota; Metazoa; Arthropoda; Malacostraca; Decapoda; Varunidae
Exons: 3
Source: RefSeq, a predicted model, not a curated record
UGAACGGUAUCGUAGGUAGGUGAGAGGGGAGACGCCUAAGUGUUUGUUGUAGCAUGAAUCUCGCUGAACGGUAUCGUAGGUAGGUGAGAGGGGAGACGCCUAAGUGUUUGUUGUAGCAUGAAUCUCGCUGAACGGUAUCGUAGGUAGGUGAGAGGGGAGACGCCUAAGUGUUUGUUGUAGCAUGAAUCUCGCUGAACGGUAUCGUAGGUAGGUGAGAGGGGAGACGCCUAAGUGUUUGUUGUAGCAUGAAUCUCGCUGAACGGUAUCGUAGGUAGGUGAGAGGGGAGACGCCUAAGUGUUUGUUGUAGCAUGAAUCUCGCUGAACGGUAUCGUGGGUAGGUGAGAGGGGAGACGCCUAAGUGCGUGACG